GUAGCACGGGAGAGCUUGCUCUCUGGGUGACGAGCGGCGGACGGGUGAGUAAUGUCUGGGAAACUGCCUGAUGGAGGGGGAUAACUACUGGAAACGGUAGCUAAUACCGCAUGAUGUCGCAAGACCAAAGUGGGGGACCUUCGGGCCUCACGCCAUCGGAUGUGCCCAGAUGGGAUUAGCUAGUAGGUGGGGUAAUGGCUCACCUAGGCGACGAUCCCUAGCUGGUCUGAGAGGAUGACCAGCCACACUGGAACUGAGACACGGUCCAGACUCCUACGGGAGGCAGCAGUGGGGAAUAUUGCACAAUGGGCGCAAGCCUGAUGCAGCCAUGCCGCGUGUGUGAAGAAGGCCUUAGGGUUGUAAAGCACUUUCAGCGAGGAGGAAGGCGUUGUAGUUAAUAACUGCAACGAUUGACGUUACUCGCAGAAGAAGCACCGGCUAACUCCGUGCCAGCAGCCGCGGUAAUACGGAGGGUGCAAGCGUUAAUCGGAAUUACUGGGCGUAAAGCGCACGCAGGCGGUUUGUUAAGUCAGAUGUGAAAUCCCCGAGCUUAACUUGGGAACUGCAUUUGAAACUGGCAAGCUAGAGUCUUGUAGAGGGGGGUAGAAUUCCAGGUGUAGCGGUGAAAUGCGUAGAGAUCUGGAGGAAUACCGGUGGCGA
RNAcentral lists this ribosomal RNA (660 nucleotides) under Rouxiella badensis. RNAcentral describes it as "bacterial SSU rRNA". It matches the Rfam family "Bacterial small subunit ribosomal RNA", at positions 66 to 718 of the family's 1533-position model. Lineage: Bacteria; Pseudomonadati; Pseudomonadota; Gammaproteobacteria; Enterobacterales; Yersiniaceae. The record is from RNAcentral.